UUAAGGCUGAGACCUGAUGCCGAGCCGAUUGUGGUGAAGUGGAUGAUCCUAUGCUGUCGAGAAAAGCCUCUAGCGAGUUUCAUGGCGGCCCGUACCCUAAACCGACUCAGGUAGUCAGGUAGAGAAUACCGAGGCGUUCGGGUGAACUAUGGUUAAGGAACUCGGCAAAAUGCCCCCGUAACUUCGGGAGAAGGGGGGCCAUCACUGGUGAUCCGAUUUACUCGGUGAGCUGGGGGUGGCCGCAGAGACCAGCGAGAAGCGACUGUUUACUAAAAACACAGGUCCGUGCGAAGCCGUAAGGCGAUGUAUACGGACUGACGCCUGCCCGGUGCUGGAACGUUAAGGGGACCGGUUAGUGCACUUUCGGGUGUGCGAAGCUGAGAACUUAAGCGCCAGUAAACGGCGGUGGUAACUAUAACCAUCCUAAGGUAGCGAAAUUCCUUGUCGGGUAAGUUCCGACCUGCACGAAUGGCGUAACGACUUCUCGACUGUCUCAACCAUAGGCCCGGUGAAAUUGCACUACGAGUAAAGAUGCUCGUUUCGCGCAGCAGGACGGAAAGACCCCGGGACCUUUACUAUAGUUUGAUAUUGGUGUUCGGUUCGGCUUGUGUAGGAUAGGUGGGAGACUUUGAAGCGGCCACGCCAGUGGUUGUGGAGUCGUCGUUGAAAUACCACUCUGGUCGUGCUGGAUGUCUAACCUGGGUCCGUGAUCCGGAUCAGGGACAGUGUCUGAUGGGUAGUUUAACUGGGGCGGUUGCCUCCUAAAGAGUAACGGAGGCGCCCAAAGGUUCCCUCAGCCUGGUUGGCAAUCAGGUGUUGAGUGUAAGUGCACAAGGGAGCUUGACUGUGAGACCGACGGGUCGAGCAGGGACGAAAGUCGGGACUAGUGAUCCGGCAGUGGCUUGUGGAAGCGCUGUCGCUCAACGGAUAAAAGGUACCCCGGGGAUAACAGGCUGAUCUUCCCCAAGAGUCCAUAUCGACGGGAUGGUUUGGCACCUCGAUGUCGGCUCGUCGCAUCCUGGGGCUGGAGUCGGUCCCAAGGG
Molecule: ribosomal RNA, 1043 nt
Filed under: Streptomyces sp. LamerLS-316
Lineage: Bacteria; Bacillati; Actinomycetota; Actinomycetes; Kitasatosporales; Streptomycetaceae
Also listed under: 1 other name
Description: bacterial LSU rRNA
Rfam family: Bacterial large subunit ribosomal RNA
Source: RNAcentral